This 413-nucleotide ribosomal RNA is filed under the name uncultured bacterium. Its description in RNAcentral is "bacterial SSU rRNA". It matches the Rfam family "Bacterial small subunit ribosomal RNA", at positions 29 to 486 of the family's 1533-position model. The record is from RNAcentral.
AACGAACGCUGGCGGCAUGCCUAACACAUGCAAGUCGAACGAGACCUUCGGGUCUAGUGGCGCACGGGUGCGUAACGCGUGGGAAUCUGCCCCUUGGUUCGGAAUAACUUCGGGAAACUGAAGCUAAUACCGGAUAAUGACGUAAGUCCAAAGAUUUAUCGCCAAGGGAUGAGCCCGCGUAGGAUUAGCUAGUUGGUGGGGUAAAGGCUCACCAAGGCGACGAUCCUUAGCUGGUCUGAGAGGAUGAUCAGCCACACUGGGACUGAGACACGGCCCAGACUCCUACGGGAGGCAGCAGUGGGGAAUAUUGGACAAUGGGCGAAAGCCUGAUCCAGCAAUGCCGCGUGAGUGAUGAAGGCCUUAGGGGUUGUAAAGCUCUUUUACCCGGGAAGACAAUGACUGUACCGGGAGAA